GGCUCAGAUUGAACGCUGGCGGCAGGCCUAACACAUGCAAGUCGAGCGGAAACGAUGGAAGCUUGCUUCCAGGCGUCGAGCGGCGGACGGGUGAGUAAUGCAUAGGAAUCUGCCCGCUAGUGGGGGAUAACCUGGGGAAACCCAGGCUAAUACCGCAUACGUCCUACGGGAGAAAGCAGGGGAUCUUCGGACCUUGCGCUAUCGGAUGAGCCUAUGUCGGAUUAGCUAGUUGGUGAGGUAAUGGCUCACCAAGGCCGCGAUCCGUAGCUGGUCUGAGAGGAUGAUCAGCCACAUCGGGACUGAGACACGGCCCGAACUCCUACGGGAGGCAGCAGUGGGGAAUAUUGGACAAUGGGCGAAAGCCUGAUCCAGCCAUGCCGCGUGUGUGAAGAAGGCUUUCGGGUUGUAAAGCACUUUCAGUGGGGAAGAAAGCCUCGGGGCCAAUACCCUCGAGGGAGGACAUCACCCACAGAAGAAGCACCGGCUAACUCCGUGCCAGCAGCCGCGGUAAUACGGAGGGUGCGAGCGUUAAUCGGAAUUACUGGGCGUAAAGCGCGCGUAGGCGGCGUGAUAAGCCGGUUGUGAAAGCCCCGGGCUCAACCUGGGAACGGCAUCCGGAACUGUCAGGCUAGAGUGCAGGAGAGGAAGGUAGAAUUCCCGGUGUAGCGGUGAAAUGCGUAGAGAUCGGGAGGAAUACCAGUGGCGAAGGCGGCCUUCUGGACUGACACUGACGCUGAGGUGCGAAAGCGUGGGUAGCAAACAGGAUUAGAUACCCUGGUAGUCCACGCCGUAAACGAUGUCGACUAGCCGUUGGGGUCCUUGUGACCUUUGUGGCGCAGUUAACGCGAUAAGUCGACCGCCUGGGGAGUACGGCCGCAAGGUUAAAACUCAAAUGAAUUGACGGGGGCCCGCACAAGCGGUGGAGCAUGUGGUUUAAUUCGAUGCAACGCGAAGAACCUUACCUACUCUUGACAUCGUGCGAACUUGGUAGAGAUACCUUGGUGCCUUCGGGAACGCACAGACAGGUGCUGCAUGGCCGUCGUCAGCUCGUGUUGUGAAAUGUUGGGUUAAGUCCCGUAACGAGCGCAACCCUUGUCCCUAUUUGCCAGCGAUUCGGUCGGGAACUCUAGGGAGACUGCCGGUGACAAACCGGAGGAAGGUGGGGACGACGUCAAGUCAUCAUGGCCCUUACGAGUAGGGCUACACACGUGCUACAAUGGCCGGUACAAAGGGUUGCGAAGCCGCGAGGUGGAACUAAUCCCGAAAAGCCGGUCUCAGUCCGGAUCGGAGUCUGCAACUCGACUCCGUGAAGUCGGAAUCGCUAGUAAUCGUGAAUCAGAAUGUCACGGUGAAUACGUUCCCGGGCCUUGUACACACCGCCCGUCACACCAUGGGAGUGGACUGCACCAGAAGUGGUUAGCCUAACUUCGGAGGGCGAUCACCACGGUGUGGUUCAUGACUGGGGUGAAGUCGUAACAAGGUAGCCGUAGGGGAACCUGCGGUUCAUGACUGGGGUGAAGUCGUAACAAGGUAGCCGUAGGGGAACCUGC
RNAcentral lists this ribosomal RNA (1550 nucleotides) under Halomonas sp. Col2. RNAcentral describes it as "bacterial SSU rRNA". It matches the Rfam family "Bacterial small subunit ribosomal RNA". Lineage: Bacteria; Pseudomonadati; Pseudomonadota; Gammaproteobacteria; Oceanospirillales; Halomonadaceae. The record is from RNAcentral.